UGGGGAAUUUUGGACAAUGGGCGAAAGCCUGAUCCAGCAAUGCCGCGUGUGUGAAGAAGGCCUUCGGGUUGUAAAGCACUUUUGUCCGGAAAGAAAUCCUCUGGGUUAAUACCUCGGGGGGAUGACGGUACCGGAAGAAUAAGCACCGGCUAACUACGUGCCAGCAGCCGCGGUAAUACGUAGGGUGCAAGCGUUAAUCGGAAUUACUGGGCGUAAAGCGUGCGCAGGCGGUUUUGUAAGACGGAUGUGAAAUCCCCGGGCUUAACCUGGGAACUGCAUUCGUGACUGCAAGGCUAGAGUAUGGCAGAGGGGGGUAGAAUUCCACGUGUAGCAGUGAAAUGCGUAGAGAUGUGGAGGAAUACCGAUGGCGAAGGCAGCCCCCUGGGCCAAUACUGACGCUCAUGCACGAAAGCGUGGGGAGCAAAUAGGAUUAGAUACCCUGGUAGUCCACGCCCUAAACGAUGUCAACUAGUUGUUGGGGAUUCAUUUCCUUAGUAACGUAGCUAACCGCGUGAAGUUGACCGCCUGGGGGAGUACGGUCGCAAGAUUAAAACUU
RNAcentral lists this ribosomal RNA (556 nucleotides) under uncultured bacterium. Its description in RNAcentral is "partial 16S ribosomal RNA". It matches the Rfam family "Bacterial small subunit ribosomal RNA", at positions 355 to 902 of the family's 1533-position model. The record is from RNAcentral.